AGAGUUUGAUCCUGGCUCAGGACGAACGCUGGCGGCGUGCUUAACACAUGCAAGUCGAACGGAAAGGCCCUGCUUGCGGGGUACUCGAGUGGCGAACGGGUGAGUAACACGUGGGUGAUCUGCCCUGCACUUCGGGAUAAGCUUGGGAAACUGGGUCUAAUACCGGAUAGGACCGCACUUUAGUGUGUGUGGUGGAAAGUUUUUUCGGUGUAGGAUGAGCUCGCGGCCUAUCAGCUUGUUGGUGGGGUAAUGGCCUACCAAGGCGGCGACGGGUAGCCGGCCUGAGAGGGUGUACGGCCACAUUGGGACUGAGAUACGGCCCAGACUCCUACGGGAGGCAGCAGUGGGGAAUAUUGCACAAUGGGCGCAAGCCUGAUGCAGCGACGCCGCGUGGGGGAUGAAGGCCUUCGGGUUGUAAACUCCUUUCGCUAGGGACGAAGCUUUUGUGACGGUACCUAGAUAAGAAGCACCGGCUAACUACGUGCCAGCAGCCGCGGUAAUACGUAGGGUGCGAGCGUUGUCCGGAAUUACUGGGCGUAAAGGGCUCGUAGGUGGUUUGUCGCGUCGUCUGUGAAAUUCUGGGGCUUAACUCCGGGCGUGCAGGCGAUACGGGCAUAACUUGAGUGCUGUAGGGGUAACUGGAAUUCCUGGUGUAGCGGUGAAAUGCGCAGAUAUCAGGAGGAACACCGAUGGCGAAGGCAGGUUACUGGGCAGUUACUGACGCUGAGGAGCGAAAGCAUGGGUAGCGAACAGGAUUAGAUACCCUAGUAGUCC
This 774-nucleotide ribosomal RNA is filed under the name uncultured bacterium. Its description in RNAcentral is "bacterial SSU rRNA". It matches the Rfam family "Bacterial small subunit ribosomal RNA", at positions 8 to 796 of the family's 1533-position model. The record is from RNAcentral.